Molecule: small nucleolar RNA, 201 nt
Organism: Jaculus jaculus (lesser Egyptian jerboa)
Lineage: Eukaryota; Metazoa; Chordata; Mammalia; Rodentia; Dipodidae
Gene: SNORA73
Rfam family: Small nucleolar RNA SNORA73 family
About the family: U17 (SNORA73A and SNORA73B) also known as E1 belongs to the H/ACA class of small nucleolar RNAs (snoRNAs).
Source: Ensembl
CCAGCAUGGAUAGCCUAGGAGGUCUCUCUCGGCUCUGUCAAAGUGGUACAGGGGAGCCUAGGGCUCUACUCCAUGAUGUGCAUUUCCUUUCCAUAACAUUGGAGAUGAAGCGAGGCCUUUGGGUCUGCUCCUGCAUGGUCCUAUAAUUUCUCAGAGUCCUGUGGAUCAUGAUUGAGGAGACAAACUAUGCAGGAAACAAUG